GGAUGUUGCAAACGAUAAGCUCUUCCUUCAAGAACAUCUAGAGCAUUAGUGCCUUUGUCCAUCAAAUCUAGCUUGGUCAACACUCCAAAAGUCCGUUCACCUGUUGGAUCCACUUCUCUUGCAAGUUUUAUUGCGUCAGAGGUGGCGAUAUCCUGAUUGGCAGGAGAAACUGCUAGAAUGAUGCAGUUGGGCUUCCCAACAUACGUUCGAACCAUGUUCUCAAUGUCUUCGACUAUAGUCUCAGACUGCCCCUCAACAGCCACUUUUGUUAAACCAGGUAAAUCAAUCAGCGUUAAGUUGACCACAUUUGGAGAGUAUAUGCUCAAGUGGAUCGGAACAGGGGAGAUCUGCUUAGUUUUCCCUGUGAUUCGAUCAGUUUCAUCCGCGAUCUCCUUGCGAACCAUGCCGAAAUCUGUGAACCGUCUUCUUGGCAAAUGACCAAACUCUGCAUAUUCCUGCUGUCCGUCAUCAGUCUUAUGAAGCUGCAACACCAAUGGUCUCCUUGUGACAAUUCCUGAUCCACGAGGAAGAAAAUCUCGGGCUACUAUGCUUUCCAACACAGAUGACUUUCCAGAACUCUGACCGCCGACAACAGCAACUGAAGGAAGAGCAUCCCAUAAAGAAGAAAACGCAUUAUCUCCACCACCAUAAUCACCAAGAGCAGUACAAGCUCUCUGAAUCCGAUUCACCAAACCAAUUAAACUCUCCAUAGUAUCAAUCUCAAACUAAAAACAAUAAAAUCCUAAAACCCCAGAUCUAUAUUUAUUACGAGAGAAAAAAGAUUGGUGAUUAAGCAAUCAAGAUUUGGACUUGAAAGUGGAACUGUGUUUGCUUUUUUACAGAGAGAUAGGAAAAAGGGGAGAAGAGAAAAGGGUCUUUG
Molecule: unclassified non-coding RNA, 880 nt
Filed under: Hevea brasiliensis (rubber tree)
Lineage: Eukaryota; Viridiplantae; Streptophyta; Magnoliopsida; Malpighiales; Euphorbiaceae
Source: RNAcentral